GCAGGAGACAGUCCAGCAAAGGGCCAUGAAGAUAAUCAGGUGCUUGGAACAUGUCUCAUACAAGAAGAUUCUCUCAUACAAGAAAGUGAAAUACAAGAAAUUCUCCUUAAACAUAAGAAAAAAAGUUCUUUAUGGAGAGAGGUCUAACACUGGAACUAGAUACCCAGAGAGGUCGUGGAGUCCCAUCCUCAAAGAUAUUCAAAACUCAGCUGGAUAGUGUCCAGGAACAUGUCCUAGCUGCUGCUGCUCCGAGCAGUGAUAUCAGACUAUACAAUCUGCAGAGGUCUACGCCAACCUCAGUGGUUGUCUGAUAUAACUUUUAACACCAGGGUUAUGUAAAUGUCCUACGUAAAAAUCCAGGAACCAUUAUCUUAAAUUCUCUGCUGCUUUAGUGGCUAACCUUCAUCUUCAAAUUUUAUUUCCAAUAGUGUGCUAAUGAGAAAACCACCAGUGGGAAGCAGUCCUUGCUGUUAAAUCUAUUAAACAUGAUUAAAAGAAAGAGGCUGAAGUGCAAUUAAGGGAACUCUGGUAUUGACCAGCCUGAUGGAGCCAUUCACUGCUUGUGCCUGUGCUAUGCUGUCCUGUGCUGUCUGGACACUAGAUACUGGUGAAAUCCUGAACACCCUCUGUACAAGUUGUUCACAAAAUUGUUGUCUUCAUCUGAUUUCCACUUGCAGACCACAAGAUUCAGGCUUUGAUACUACAAGGAAGAGAGCAGUGUAAAAACGUCCCACACUGAACUUCCUAUGCUUAAAGCCUUGCACCCUUACUCACCCAAACGUGACUCUAGCCCAUUCCAGCAACUACAGGUGCUUCAGCAGGGGCUCCACGUGCAUUUUGCUACAUCUCCUGACACUUACAAUUAAGGAAUUCGCCAUUCAAAGCAAAAAUCUGAAACAGAGCCAUGAGAAUUCUUAAGUAUGAAAUCAAUAUAAAGCCAUGCAUAACAAGGUCCUUUCCAACCCGAACUAUUCUAUGAUUUUAUGAUCACACUGAUGGAUGAAGCCAGAACUACAGACAGGAUUUGAAGAACACCAGAUUUUCACAA
Long non-coding RNA from Melopsittacus undulatus (budgerigar), 1048 nucleotides. RefSeq lists it as uncharacterized. The record is from RefSeq and is a predicted model, not a curated record. NCBI's taxonomy places the organism in Eukaryota, Metazoa, Chordata, Aves, Psittaciformes, Psittaculidae. The transcript is spliced from 6 exons.